GACACAGGCAUCUUUCCUAGGGCCGUGCCUCUCCCGAGCCGCCACUUCCGUGACUAGCAGAGGCUAUCAAAUUCCAGAGGAAAAUGUAAACCUGCCUCAGUUCGGAUGACUGGAAGCCCACAAAGCUGCAGCUCCAUGAGAGAAAUCCAAAUGACCUAAGGGACAAGACAGCAUUUGCUGAGGCCCCCAGCAAGGGUUCCUGUCCUGGAGGCACACAAGCUACAGAAAAAGUCACUACAAUGGUUAGCUGGAACCUGCCUCACCCUCAGAAAUCUAUUCAUGCACUGUGCCUGAGACAACCCCAUCUACGGGCAUGAUCCCCCAAACCCUACAGCCUCCAGGGACGGGGUGGAGCAUACGAUCAGCACGCAGCCAGCAUGCAGCACUGUGCAUGUGAGGACUUGGGCGAGGUCUUUCCCUCAGGCCGGGGUUCCAGGAGACCCAAACUUCUGCUAAGCUGAUGACUAACGCAGGCUGUAUUAACUUCAAGGCUGA
RNAcentral lists this long non-coding RNA (495 nucleotides) under Mus musculus (house mouse). Its description in RNAcentral is "predicted gene, 49961". The record is from RNAcentral. Lineage: Eukaryota; Metazoa; Chordata; Mammalia; Rodentia; Muridae.